GCGGAUUUAGCUCAGUUGGGAGAGCGUCAGACUGAAGAAAUCUGAAGGUCCUGUGUUCGAUCCACAGAAUUCGCA
This 75-nucleotide transfer RNA is filed under the name Komagataella phaffii CBS 7435. RNAcentral describes it as "tRNA-Phe". It matches the Rfam family "tRNA". From Rfam's summary of the family: Transfer RNA (tRNA) molecules are approximately 80 nucleotides in length. Their secondary structure includes four short double-helical elements and three loops (D, anti-codon, and T loops). Further hydrogen bonds mediate the characteristic L-shaped molecular structure. tRNAs have two regions of fundamental functional importance: the anti-codon, which is responsible for specific mRNA codon recognition, and the 3' end, to which the tRNAs corresponding amino acid is attached (by aminoacyl-tRNA synthetases). tRNAs cope with the degeneracy of the genetic code in two manners: having more than one tRNA (with a specific anti-codon) for a particular amino acid; and 'wobble' base-pairing, i.e. permitting non-standard base-pairing at the 3rd anti-codon position. The record is from RNAcentral. Lineage: Eukaryota; Fungi; Ascomycota; Pichiomycetes; Pichiales; Pichiaceae.